AUGAACGCUAGCGACAGGCCUAACACAUGCAAGUCGAGGGGCAGCACAAGGAGCAAUCUGAGGUGGCGACCGGCGCACGGGUGAGUAACACGUAUGCAACCUGCCUGUAAGCGGGGAAUAACCCGUUGAAAGACGGACUAAUACCGCAUAAUACUAAAUUACUGCAUGGUAAUUUAUUUAAACAUUUAUGGCUUACAGAUGGGCAUGCGCAUGAUUAGCUAGUUGGAGAGGUAACGGCUCCCCAAGGCAACGAUCAUUAGGGGUUCUGAGAGGAAGGUCCCCCACACUGGUACUGAGACACGGACCAGACUCCUACGGGAGGCAGCAGUGAGGAAUAUUGGUCAAUGGACGAGAGUCUGAACCAGCCAAGUCGCGUGCAGGAAGAAUGUCCUAUGGAUUGUAAACUGCUUUUGCAGGGGAAUAAAGUGCAUCACGUGUGAUGUUUUGUAUGUACUCUGCGGAUAAGGAUCGGCUAACUCCGUGCCAGCAGCAGC
RNAcentral lists this ribosomal RNA (494 nucleotides) under uncultured bacterium. Its description in RNAcentral is "bacterial SSU rRNA". It matches the Rfam family "Bacterial small subunit ribosomal RNA", at positions 29 to 518 of the family's 1533-position model. The record is from RNAcentral.